AACGAACGCUGGCGGCGUGCCUAAGACACGCAAGUCGUGCGGAAAGGCUCCUUCGGGAGUACUCGAGCGGCGCACGGGUGAGUAACACGUGGGUAAUCUACCUGAGGGUCUGGGAUAACUCCGGGAAACUGGGGCUAAUACCGGAUGAGACCACGGCGUCCUCGGACGCAGCGGUCAAAGAUGGCCUCUCCUUGGAAGCUAUCGCCUACAGAUGAGCCCGCGUCCCAUUAGCUAG
RNAcentral lists this ribosomal RNA (235 nucleotides) under uncultured bacterium. Its description in RNAcentral is "partial 16S ribosomal RNA". It matches the Rfam family "Bacterial small subunit ribosomal RNA", at positions 29 to 248 of the family's 1533-position model. The record is from RNAcentral.